AUGGCCCCAGAUUGGACAAUGUGAUCCAAACUGUUCUAAAUGGAGAUGAGAAGACGGGUGUCACUAUCAUGCAGAUUAGACAAAAAAGGUUUGAUGUUGACCCUAUUGUGAUGCGGAAGAUGUACCCUGUUCCCCCAAGGUGCACUUCUAAGGAUCUGGAAGCUUUCUAAAAAUGAGGCUGAAAUGGUAAAAGCUUAAUGACCUCUUACUCAAAGAUGCCCCUUCAGGCUGUCUGGAUUGGCUCACCCAUUAAACUUCUUAACUUUGUGGAAAUUCCAGACUCUGUUAAAGUUCCAGGGGCCUGAACUUCUAUUCCCCCUGCUUUUAGCGAUGCUGAAAGUUAGGCAGCACUGCUAAAGGGAGUCAAAAGUGUUCUGGCAGCUGGACUAGGGGAUGUCAAGCAGGGCUGCCAACAGGGGUGCAAAGGGGUGACUAUUGUCCCAGGCCUAGCAGAGAAGAACAAAGCCACGGCAACUGAAAAGAACUAAGAAGCCACGACGGAAAAGAACGAAGAAGCUGUGACAGAAAAGAACAAAGAAACCGCGUUGGAAAAGUAUAAAGAAACCCGCAACCAAAAAGAAUGAAGAAGCCCAUGACGGAAAGGAAAUUAAGGCAAUCGUACGAAAGUUAUGUCCGACAAAAGCUGGUGAAAGUCUCCCACUGAAGAUCGUUAGAUCGGCAAUACAUGCAGAGAUAUUAUCGGCAGCCGACAGAAAUUUUUUAACCUGUCUGAUCCACUGAACGACCGAUUGGCAUGGCACGACUGAUGUCAGGACACUCCACAUACGAUCUGAAAAUCGUACGAAUCGACAUUCUGUAAGUCAAUUCCUGUCUUGCCCUUGUCCCCCUGUGCUUUGACUCUCUGUAUUUUUUUAAUCCUUGGCCUAUUUUGUGGACUUUUAUUCUUUUCUGCCUG
Molecule: long non-coding RNA, 916 nt
Organism: Xenopus laevis (African clawed frog)
Lineage: Eukaryota; Metazoa; Chordata; Amphibia; Anura; Pipidae
Exons: 5
Source: RefSeq, a predicted model, not a curated record